GACGAACGCUGGCGGCGUGCCUAAUACAUGCAAGUCGAACGCUGAAGGAGGAGCUUGCUCUUCUGGAUGAGUUGCGAACGGGUGAGUAACGCGUAGGUAACCUGCCUGGUAGCGGGGGAUAACUAUUGGAAACGAAAGCUAAUACCGCAUAACAGUAGAUGUUGCAUGACAUUUACUUAAAAGGUGCAAUUGCAUCACUACCAGAUGGACCUGCGUUGUAUUAGCUAGUUGGUGGGGUAACGGCUCACCAAGGCGACGAUACAUAGCCGACCUGAGAGGGUGAGCGGCCACACUGGGACUGAGACACGGCCCAGACUCCUACGGGAGGCAGCAGUAGGGAAUCGUCGGCAAUGGACGGAAGUCUGACCGAGCAACGCCGCGUGAGGGAAGAAGGUUGUCGGAUCGUAAAGCUCGGUUGUAAGAGAAGAACGAGUGUGAGAGUGGAAAGUUCACACUGUGACGGUAUCUUACCAGAAAGGGACGGCUAACUACGUG
Molecule: ribosomal RNA, 495 nt
Filed under: uncultured bacterium
Lineage: Bacteria
Description: partial 16S ribosomal RNA
Rfam family: Bacterial small subunit ribosomal RNA
Source: RNAcentral